Molecule: long non-coding RNA, 392 nt
Filed under: Zonotrichia albicollis (white-throated sparrow)
Lineage: Eukaryota; Metazoa; Chordata; Aves; Passeriformes; Passerellidae
Description: lncRNA (ENSZALG00000016436.1)
Source: RNAcentral
GCAUAAUGUGCUUAUUUUAAUUUUAUUUUUCCUUCAAUAAAUGAUAAAUUUGAAAUAUUUCCUUUGGGUUUCACUGUAAAUAGAUGAAGUAAUAAUGUUGUAUUUAUUUUUAUUAUUAAACAUCUCAGAGAAAAGCAACUUCUGGAUUACCUCGAAUGCACUGGCAACAUAAGUAGCAACAGACUUCCAGACGAAGAAGCUUGUGUGGAACAUGUUAAAUGAAGACCCUUCAACAUCUCCCUGGGUGCAGUGCCGUGGUGCUCUCAAGAUGCACCAGGCUUUUAUAACUAGUGAUGCAGCAAGCACUGAAAUUAUGGACUACAAAGUAUUUCCCAAGAAGCUCAGGAGGCUCCAGGCUCUGGCUCUGAAUUUGUGACCUGGUACACAUAGAG